RNAcentral lists this ribosomal RNA (705 nucleotides) under uncultured bacterium. Its description in RNAcentral is "bacterial SSU rRNA". It matches the Rfam family "Bacterial small subunit ribosomal RNA", at positions 125 to 818 of the family's 1533-position model. The record is from RNAcentral.
CCUAUCUUUAAGUCGAGGAUAGCAGUUGGAAACGACUGGUAAUACUGGAUAGGAUUCAAGUUCACAUGAACUACUAUUUAAAGGGGCAAUUGCCCCGCUUGAUGAGGGGUCUAUAUCGCAUUAGCUAGUUGGUGGGGUAACAGCCUACCAAGGCGAUGAUGCGUAGCUGUGCUGAGAGGCAAAACAGCCACAUUGGGACUGAGACACGGCCCAAACUCCUACGGGAGGCAGCAGUAGGGAAUUUUCGGCAAUGGGGGCAACCCUGACCGAGCAAUGCCGCGUGAAUGAUGAAGGUCUUCGGAUCGUAAAGUUCUGUUAUCAGGAAAGAACAUCAUGGAGAGUGGAAAGCUCCAUGACUGACGGUACCUGAUCAGAAAGCCCCGGCUAACUAUGUGCCAGCAGCCGCGGUAAUACAUAGGGGGCGAGCGUUAUCCGGAAUUAUUGGGCGUAAAGCGUGCGUAGGCGGUUGCUUAAGUCUGGUGUAAAACCCAAAGCUUAACUUUGGGAGGUCACUGGAAACUGGGCAACUUGAGUAUGGUAGAGGUAAGUGGAAUUCCAAGUGGAGCGGUGGAAUGCGUAGAGAUUUGGAGGAACACCAGUGGCGAAGGCGGCUUACUGGGCCAUUACUGACGCUCAGGCACGAAAGCGUGGGGAGCAAACAGGAUUAGAUACCCUGGUAGUCCACGCCGUAAACGAUGAGUGCUA